GGGGGCAAGAGAUACUGUAGUUAGAGGGAGGACACCCUGAGAGACACUGAGAGGGAGACUUUGAAAGUGGGAGAGAAUGUGUGGAAAAGAUGGUGUGAGAGACAGGAUUCUGUGUUGGAACUGGACGCUAAGACAUUGAGCAACAAGGGGACGUCCUUGAGCAGAAGGGACAUGUAAAAUAAGGAGCAACCUGGACUGAAGACUAAGGAAAACAAGGGCUAAGAAAGUGUAAGAGGAGAAGGAAAAGAUAUCAAAGGAGGAAUAAAGCAAGUAGAAUGGGUUGUGUCUUCAGCAAGCAGAGGUGGGUUAAAGAGAGGAAUCCCCAGCCCUCAGACCCCCCGAAAACACGAGACAUCACAGAGGAUGCAGAGAUUCUCAGCUUGACAGAGGUACGCAUGUGUUUAUGUGUGCGGAAGGGGUCAUAUAUAGUUGGGGAAAAUGGGUUCACACUCCUUUAAAGAGAGGAACUUCAAGAAGAAACACCACUGUGUUGUCUGCAGACAAGCCCUCGACAGCCAUGGCAUUUACUGCAGAGAGUGUGAAACUGCAGUGCAUAAGAAAUGUGAGGAAAAAUGCAUGCCCUUGUUUGAGAGGGAGAGAGAGAGAGGAAGAGUUGAGUGGGAGCAAGAGAGUAAGAGGAUCAGAAAGACAUGAGAGCACUUGUGUGUGUGCUAUAGGAACU
RNAcentral lists this long non-coding RNA (682 nucleotides) under Sinocyclocheilus grahami. RNAcentral describes it as "lncRNA (ENSSGRG00000035420.1)". The record is from RNAcentral. Lineage: Eukaryota; Metazoa; Chordata; Actinopteri; Cypriniformes; Cyprinidae.